CGGGGUGUAGCGCAGCGGCUAGCGCAUCUGCUUUGGGAGCAGAGGGGCGAAGGUUCAAAUCCUUUCACCCCGACCA
This 76-nucleotide transfer RNA is filed under the name Bacillota bacterium. RNAcentral describes it as "tRNA-Pro". It matches the Rfam family "tRNA". From Rfam's summary of the family: Transfer RNA (tRNA) molecules are approximately 80 nucleotides in length. Their secondary structure includes four short double-helical elements and three loops (D, anti-codon, and T loops). Lineage: Bacteria; Bacillati; Bacillota. The record is from RNAcentral.